RNAcentral lists this unclassified non-coding RNA (17 nucleotides) under Mus musculus (house mouse). Its description in RNAcentral is "oocyte_clustered_small_RNA8280". Lineage: Eukaryota; Metazoa; Chordata; Mammalia; Rodentia; Muridae. The record is from RNAcentral.
UGGAUGAUGGGAUAGGA